RNAcentral lists this ribosomal RNA (460 nucleotides) under uncultured bacterium. Its description in RNAcentral is "partial 16S ribosomal RNA". It matches the Rfam family "Bacterial small subunit ribosomal RNA", at positions 338 to 795 of the family's 1533-position model. The record is from RNAcentral.
CCUACGGGGUGCAGCAGUGAGGAAUAUUGGUCAAUGGACGAGAGUCUGAACCAGCCAAGUAGCGUGAAGGAUGACUGCCCUAUGGGUUGUAAACUUCUUUUAUAAGGGAAUAAAACGAGGCACGUGUGCCUUUUUGCAUGUACGUUAUGAAUAAGGAUCGGCUAACUCCGUGCCAGCAGCCGCGGUAAUACGGAGGAUCCGAGCGUUAUCCGGAUUUAUUGGGUUUAAAGGGUGCGUAGGCGGCCUUUUAAGUCAGCGGUGAAAUUCUUGGGCUCAACCCUAGAAGGGUCGUUGAGACUGGGAGGCUAGAGUAUGGUAGAGGCAGGCAGAAUGCGAGGUGUAGCGGUGAAAUGCUUAGAGAUCACGAAGAACCCCGAUUGCGAAGGCAGCCUGCCGGGCCAUGACUGACGCUGAGGCACGAAAGCGUGGGGAUCAAACAGGAUUAGAUACCCUAGUAGUC